This 866-nucleotide long non-coding RNA is filed under the name Equus caballus (horse). Its description in RNAcentral is "lncRNA (ENSECAG00000038568.3)". Lineage: Eukaryota; Metazoa; Chordata; Mammalia; Perissodactyla; Equidae. The record is from RNAcentral.
CUGAGACAGACGGCAGCAGCGUCUGAAAGGGGAGGGAGAAGAGAAGCGUGGCCAGAUGAUUGUGCCCCACAGAAACACAGUUUACAGAAGAAGAAAGGAAGCUCAGAGAAGCUAAGCCAGCUGUGAUAAAGAAGCCCACAGUUGUAAGAAGGGACAAGGCUGAGAUCUGAACCCACUAAUGCAGUUAUGAGACUAGAGGUGAGGCUGCCAUCUUAUGACACUGAGAUGACCACGGGCCUGAAAGCCACACUCUACAGAUUAGAAGAACAAUUCAUUCCAGGAUCUAAAUCACCCAAGGAGCUUAUAUAUAUCUGCUGUCGAGUGAAUGUUUGUGUCCCUCCAAAAUUCAUGCUGAAAACUACACCUUAAUGUGACAGUAAUAAGAGAGAGCUCCUGUGCCUAAGGACCACCAAGACUUUGCUCUGUCAACUAAUACAUGAUCAGAUCAACUGAUACGAAAAGACCUAUGCAGCUGAGAAAACUAAAAAAUAAAAAUAAGUCCAGCAAUUCUUGCCGAGGUUAGAAGAAAUGGAAGAUCAACCAAGAGAAAAUGAAGGAACACAGAGAUGAGCAAAUGCAGGAUGUUGCUACCACCUGAGCACUGGAGAGUCGAGGCAGUGUGUCUGGAGCCCAGGAUCCUAGGCCAUAGAUGGAUGUUGGAACCAUGCAGAUCUGUGGCAUGGGCUAGAAGGGUGGAAUCCUUCCUGCCCCAGUCAUUCUCACUGAGACACCAAUAUGAUCCGCCCCCCCCACACACACCAUAUGCGGAAUUUACAAAGGGAAUAAAGGUUCCCUGCCAAUACACACACCAUAUGCAGAAUUUACAAAUGGAAUCUGUUCCAUGACUCCUGCACCCCUCAGCCAGA